CCUACGGGUGGCAGCAGUGAGGAAUAUUGGUCAAUGGGCGCGAGCCUGAACCAGCCAAGUCGCGUGAGGGAAGACGGUCCUAUGGAGUGUAAACCUCUUUUGUCGGGGAGCAAAAGACGCCACGCGUGGCGUUCCGAGAGUACCCGAAGAAAAAGCAGCGGCUAACUCCGGGCCAGCAGCCGCGGUAAUACGGAGGAGGCGAGCGUUAUCCGGAUUUAUUGGGUUGAAAGGGGGCGCAGGCGGAAGAUCAAGUCAGCGGGAAAAUUGAGAGGCUCAACCUCUUCGAGCCGUUGAAACUGGUUUUCUUGAGUGAGUGAGCAGUCUGCGGAAUGCGUGGUGUAGCGGU
Molecule: ribosomal RNA, 346 nt
Filed under: uncultured bacterium
Lineage: Bacteria
Description: partial 16S ribosomal RNA
Rfam family: Bacterial small subunit ribosomal RNA
Source: RNAcentral